GAAACCCGGUGAUCUAGCCAUGGGCAGGUUGAAGGUUGGGUAACACUAACUGGAGGACCGAACCGACUAAUGUUGAAAAAUUAGCGGAUGACUUGUGGCUGGGGGUGAAAGGCCAAUCAAACCGGGAGAUAGCUGGUUCUCCCCGAAAGCUAUUUAGGUAGCGCCUCGUGAAUUCAUCUCCGGGGGUAGAGCACUGUUUCGGCAAGGGGGUCAUCCCGACUUACCAACCCGAUGCAAACUGCGAAUACCGGAGAAUGUUAUCACGGGAGACACACGGCGGGUGCUAACGUCCGUCGUGAAGAGGGAAACAACCCAGACCGCCAGCUAAGGUCCCAAAGUCAUGGUUAAGUGGGAAACGAUGUGGGAAGGCCCAGACAGCCAGGAUGUUGGCUUAGAAGCAGCCAUCAUUUAAAGAAAGCGUAAUAGCUCACUGGUCGAGUCGGCCUGCGCGGAAGAUGUAACGGGGCUAAACCAUGCACCGAAGCUGCGGCAGCGACACUAUGUGUUGUUGGGUAGGGGAGCGUUCUGUAAGCCUGUGAAGGUGGCCUGUGAGGGUUGCUGGAGGUAUCAGAAGUGCGAAUGCUGACAUAAGUAACGAUAAAGCGGGUGAAAAGCCCGCUCGCCGGAAGACCAAGGGUUCCUGUCCAACGUUAAUCGGGGCAGGGUGAGUCGACCCCUAAGGCGAGGCCGAAAGGCGUAGUCGAUGGGAAACAGGUUAAUAUUCCUGUACUUGGUGUUACUGCGAAGGGGGGACGGAGAAGGCUAUGUUGGCCGGGCGACGGUUGUCCCGGUUUAAGCGUGUAGGCUGGUUUUCCAGGCAAAUCCGGAAAACCAAGGCUGAGGCGUGAUGACGAGGCACUACGGUGCUGAAGCGACAAAUGCCCUGCUUCCAGGAAAAGCCUCUAAGCAUCAGGUAACAUCAAAUCGUACCCCAAACCGACACAGGUGGUCAGGUAGAGAAUACCAAGGCGCUUGAGAGAACUCGG
RNAcentral lists this ribosomal RNA (986 nucleotides) under Escherichia coli. RNAcentral's name for it is "partial 23S ribosomal RNA". It matches the Rfam family "Bacterial large subunit ribosomal RNA", at positions 717 to 1703 of the family's 2925-position model. Lineage: Bacteria; Pseudomonadati; Pseudomonadota; Gammaproteobacteria; Enterobacterales; Enterobacteriaceae. The record is from RNAcentral.